UACGUAGGGGGCUAGCGUUGUCCGGAUUUAUUGGGCGUAAAGAGCGUGUAGGCGGCCAGGUAGGUCCGGUGUGAAAACUCGAGGCUUAACCUCGAGAUGUCAUCGGAAACCAUCUGGCUAGAGUCCGGAAGAGGAAAGUGGAAUUCCUGGUGUAGCGGUGAAAUGCGCAGAUAUCAGGAAGAACACCAAUGGCGAAAGCAGCUUUCUGGGACGGUACUGACGCUGAGACGCGAAAGCGUGGGGAGCGAACGGG
Molecule: ribosomal RNA, 253 nt
Filed under: uncultured bacterium
Lineage: Bacteria
Description: partial 16S ribosomal RNA
Rfam family: Bacterial small subunit ribosomal RNA
Source: RNAcentral